GUCUGAGAGGAUGAUCAGCCACACUGGGACUGAGACACGGCCCAGACUCCUACGGGAGGCAGCAGUGGGGAAUAUUGCACAAUGGGCGCAAGCCUGAUGCAGCCAUGCCGCGUGUAUGAAGAAGGCCUUAGGGUUGUAAAGUACUUUCAGUCGGGAGGAAGGCGUUGAUGCUAAUAUCAUCAACGAUUGACGUUACCGACAGAAGAAGCACCGGCUAACUCCGUGCCAGCAGCCGCGGUAAUACGGAGGGUGCAA
This 255-nucleotide ribosomal RNA is filed under the name Providencia rettgeri. Its description in RNAcentral is "partial 16S ribosomal RNA". It matches the Rfam family "Bacterial small subunit ribosomal RNA", at positions 290 to 537 of the family's 1533-position model. Lineage: Bacteria; Pseudomonadati; Pseudomonadota; Gammaproteobacteria; Enterobacterales; Morganellaceae. The record is from RNAcentral.